GUAGUCCACGCCGUAAACGAUGAGUGCUGAGUGUUAGGGGGUUUCCGCCCCUUAGUGCUGCAGCUAACGCAUUAAGCACUCCGCCUGGGGAGUACGGCCGCAAGGCUUAAACUCAAAGGAAUUGACGGGGACCCGCACAAGCGGUGGAGCAUGUGGUUUAAUUCGAAGCAACGCGAAGAACCUUACCAAAUCUUGACAUCCUUUGACCGCUCUAGAGAUAGAGUCUUCCCCUUCGCGGGACAAAGUGACAGGUGGUGCAUGGUUGUCGUCAGCUCGUGUCGUGAGAUGUUGGGUUAAGUCCCGCAACGAGCGCAACCCUUAAGCUUAGUUGCCAUCAUUCAGUUGGGCACUCUAAGUUGACUGCCGGUGACAAACCGGAGGAAGGUGGGGAUGACGUCAAAUCAUCAUGCCCCUUAUGAUUUGGGCUACACACGUGCUACAAUGGACAAUACAAAGGGCAGCGAACCGCGAGGUCAAGCAAAUCCCAUAAAGUUGUUCUCAGUUCGGAUUGUAGUCUGCAACUCGACUACAUGAAGCUGGAAUCGCUAGUAAUCGUAGAUCAGCAUGCUACGGUGAAUACGUUCCCGGGUCUUGUACACACCGCCCGUCACACAAGAGGGAGGUUUUGUAACACCCGAAGUCGGUAGAG
This 649-nucleotide ribosomal RNA is filed under the name uncultured bacterium. RNAcentral describes it as "bacterial SSU rRNA". It matches the Rfam family "Bacterial small subunit ribosomal RNA", at positions 790 to 1435 of the family's 1533-position model. The record is from RNAcentral.